This 1596-nucleotide ribosomal RNA is filed under the name Triticum aestivum (bread wheat). RNAcentral's name for it is "partial small subunit ribosomal RNA". The record is from RNAcentral. Lineage: Eukaryota; Viridiplantae; Streptophyta; Magnoliopsida; Poales; Poaceae.
AUGUCUUCAUCGAAAAAACCCACAGUAACUCUUGCUUCACAGAUGGCUGGCGAAAUUGUGACCAUCGGCAAGCUCAAAGCACUCAUGGGUGACGAGUACGGCAAGUUCACAGGGGUCAGGAAGCAGGCUUCGUUCCUUGAGAAGGAACUCAGCGCCAUGAACGCUGCCCUCCAGAAGCUCGAGCUCAUGGAUGAUGAGCUCGAUCCAACUGUCAAGGACUGGGUGGAUCAUGUUAGGGAUAUGUCCUAUGACAUGGAGAAUUGUAUUGACGACUUCGUGCACCAAUUUCGAGCUGAUGAUGCCAAGGCAGGCUUCAUAGAGAAGAUUACUCAAUUCAUCAAGAAGUUUCGACAACGCCUUCGGAUAGCCGACCGGAUGGAAGAGCUCAAGACUCUUGCCUUGGAGGCGAAUGAUCGACGUGAGAGAUAUAAGAUUGAUGAUUGGAAGCCUGCCUCUGGCCAUGUGCCUGUUGACCCUCGGCUGCGAGCGGUAUAUCAGGAGGCAGAUACUCUCGUGGGCAUUGAUGGCCCAAGGGAGGAGGUUGUCACUCGGUUGAUGGAUACUCGGAAGAAACUCAAGGUGGUAUCCAUUGUAGGAUUAGGUGGUCUUGGUAAAACUACACUUGCCAAACAGGUCUAUGACAAGAUUGACUCGCAAUUUGAUUGCAAGGCAUUCUUUUCAGUUUCACAGAGGCCUGAUAUGAGUGAGCUACUCAACAAUUUACAAUAUAAACUUGGGAUGAACGACCCCGUUUCAUCUCACGCUCGCAAGGUUGACGACAUCAUUAAAGAGCUAAGGGAACAUCUGAAAGAGAAAAGGUACCUUAUUGUUGUUGACGAUGUGUGGGAUGAAUCAGCUUGGAAUAUUAUUAAGUGUGCUUUUCCAGAAGAGGGUAAUGGAAGUAGAGUAAUAGUUACAACACGAGUAGAAGGUGUAGCUAUCGUAGCCUGUCAGAAUGACCGUGAGGGCAUGUACAGAUUGAAACCUCUCAGUGAAGAAAACUCAAGAAUGUUAUUCUUGAAUAGAGUAUUUGGGUCUGCACAUGGUUGUCCACCCCAACUUGAAGACAUCAUGGCUGAGAUUUUGAAGAAGUGUCAUGGAUUGCCACUUGCAGUUAUCACAAUAGCUAGCCUAUUAGCAAGUGAAGAAAGAUCAAGGAAGGGGUGGGAGAGCAUAAGGGAUUCUUUGGGUGCCCAGUCUGCUACAAAUCCUACCUUGGAAGAGAUGAAGAGUAUAUUAAACCUUAGCUACAUGCAUCUUCCUGCUUAUCUGCGGGCAUGUUUUUUGUACCUUGGUAUGUAUGCUGAGGAUUGCGAAAUCCCAAGGGAUGAUCUGGUUCGACAAUGGAUAGCUGAAGGCUUUAUCAGUAGUUUGCAUGUGCAAGAUCUGGAGGAUGUUGGUAGGAGUUAUUUCAAUGAGCUUAUCAACAGAAGCAUGAUUCAGCCUUAUGAAAAUGAGGAGGAGGAGGUGUGUUGCAGAGUACACGACAUGAUGCUUGACUUGAUCCUAAGCAAGUGCGCUGAAGAUAACUUUGUAAGUGUGGCAUACAAUUAUGAAGGCAUGGCAGCAAAUACAAGAUUCGUCGAUUAUCUCUGA